UUGAAAAUUGCUAUUCUAAGAAACAUUACACCUCUUCCAUGUUGACUUCAAGUGUCUAGCGAAUGAUAAAAGUAAACUUAAAAGCACUUAUUUAAGCAUUUACCAUUUCAACAAUUAUAAUGUUUGGGCCCUCUAGUAUAUAUAUAAAAAUGAGUAUCAUACAAAAGGUUGGUGAUUAGGCAACUCUUUAUAAUCUCUAUUUCCAUAUUUCCUCCCGUUUUUCUCUCUUUUUCUAGUUUCAUUUUUUAAAAUCAUUUUCAUAUUAAAAUGAUUAAUUUAUUAUGGAA
RNAcentral lists this unclassified non-coding RNA (287 nucleotides) under Hevea brasiliensis (rubber tree). Lineage: Eukaryota; Viridiplantae; Streptophyta; Magnoliopsida; Malpighiales; Euphorbiaceae. The record is from RNAcentral.